UUCGCCCUUAGAGUUUGAUCCUGGCUCAGGACGAACGCUGGCGGCGCGCCUAACACAUGCAAGUCGAACGAGCGAGAGAGAGCUUGCUUUCUCAAACGAGUGGCGAACGGGUGAGUAACGCGUGAGGAACCUGCCUCAAAGAGGGGGACAACAGUUGGAAACGACUGCUAAUACCGCAUAAGCCCACGACCCGGCAUCGGGUAGAGGGAAAAGGAGCAAUCCGCUUUGAGAUGGCCUCGCGUCCGAUUAGCUAGUUGGUGAGGUAAUGGCCCACCAAGGCGACGAUCGGUAGCCGGACUGAGAGGUUGAACGGCCACAUUGGGACUGAGACACGGCCCAGACUCCUACGGGAGGCAGCAGUGGGGAAUAUUGCACAAUGGGGGAAACCCUGAUGCAGCGACGCCGCGUGGAGGAAGAAGGUCUUCGGAUUGUAAACUCCUGUUGUUGAGGAAGAUAAUGACGGUACUCAACAAGGAAGUGACGGCUAACUACGUGCCAGCAGCCGCGGUAAAACGUAGGUCACAAGCGUUGUCCGGAAUUACUGGGUGUAAAGGGAGCGCAGGCGGGAAGACAAGUUGGAAGUGAAAUCCAUGGGCUCAACCCAUGAACUGCUUUCAAAACUGUUUUUCUUGAGUAGUGCAGAGGUAGGCGGAAUUCCCGGUGUAGCGGUGGAAUGCGUAGAUAUCGGGAGGAACACCAGUGGCGAAGGCGGCCUACUGGGGCACCAACUGACGCUGAGGCUCGAAAGUGUGGGUAGCAAACAGGAUUAGAUACCCUGGUAGUCCACACUGUAAACGAUGAUUACUAGGUGUUGGAGGAUUGACCCCUUCAGUGCCGCAGUUAACACAAUAAGUAAUCCACCUGGGGAGUACGACCGCAAGGUUGAAACUCAAAGGAAUUGACGGGGGCCCGCACAAGCAGUGGAGUAUGUGGUUUAAUUCGACGCAACGCGAAGAACCUUACCAAGUCUUGACAUCCUGCGACGGACAUAGAAAUAUGUUUUUCCUUCGGGACGCAGAGACAGGUGGUGCAUGGUUGUCGUCAGCUCGUGUCGUGAGAUGUUGGGUUAAGUCCCGCAACGAGCGCAACCCUUAUGGUCAGUUACUACGCAAGAGGACUCUGGCCAGACUGCCGUUGACAAAACGGAGGAAGGUGGGGAUGACGUCAAAUCAUCAUGCCCUUUAUGACUUGGGCUACACACGUACUACAAUGGCGUUAAACAAAGAGAAGCAAGACCGCGAGGUGGAGCAAAACUCAGAAACAACGUCCCAGUUCGGACUGCAGGCUGCAACUCGCCUGCACGAAGUCGGAAUUGCUAGUAAUCGCAGAUCAGCAUGCUGCGGUGAAUACGUUCCCGGGCCUUGUACACACCGCCCGUCA
Molecule: ribosomal RNA, 1380 nt
Filed under: uncultured bacterium
Lineage: Bacteria
Description: 16S ribosomal RNA
Rfam family: Bacterial small subunit ribosomal RNA
Source: RNAcentral